This 26-nucleotide non-coding RNA is filed under the name Rattus norvegicus (Norway rat). The record is from RNAcentral. Lineage: Eukaryota; Metazoa; Chordata; Mammalia; Rodentia; Muridae.
UCAAAGGUGCAUCUGUCUCCUCCUGC